RNAcentral lists this ribosomal RNA (504 nucleotides) under Sclerodermus sp. 3 YJ-2014. RNAcentral's name for it is "partial 16S ribosomal RNA". Lineage: Eukaryota; Metazoa; Arthropoda; Insecta; Hymenoptera; Bethylidae. The record is from RNAcentral.
CGUUUUUUGAUUAUAAUUUAAGAUUUAUUCUGCUCAAUGAAAAUUUAAAUAGCCGCAGUAUUUUAACUGUGCAAAGGUAGCAUAAUAAUUUGUUUAUUAAUUGUAAACUGGAAUGAAAGAAUAGAUAAAAUAUUUACUUUAUUAAUAUUAUAAAUAUAAAGUUAAUUUUUUAGUAAAAAAGCUAAAAUUUUUUAUUGGGACGAGAAGACCCUAUAGAAUUUUAUAUUAUAAUGAAUAUUUUAAAUUAAUAUAUUUUUAUAUAUUUAUUAUAUUAAUUUAUUGGGAGGAUAAUUAAAUUUUUAAACUUUAAUAUAAUUAACCAAAGAUAAGUGAAGAUUUGAUUUUAUAUAUAAAAUUUUAGGAAAAUUACCUUAGGGAUAACAGUGUAAUAUUUUUAGAAAGUUCUUAUUGAUAAAAAUGUUUAUAACCUCGAUGUUGAAUUUAGAUUAAUUUAAAUAGAAGUUUGUUUAAAUUUUAGUCUGUUCGACUAUUAAAAUCUAACAU